This 83-nucleotide ribosomal RNA is filed under the name Flavobacteriales bacterium. RNAcentral's name for it is "partial 23S ribosomal RNA". Lineage: Bacteria; Pseudomonadati; Bacteroidota; Flavobacteriia; Flavobacteriales. The record is from RNAcentral.
UAUAGACGAUGACGUUGAUAGGUCACAAGUGUAAGUGUAGAAAUACAUUCAGCUGAGUGAUACUAAUUACCCGUAGACUUUGG